CCCCACCCCCAGGUUGCUCGGGUUGUGGGCUGGGCUUUCGGUUUUAUCCUGGACACCUGUGUUCCAGAAAGAGGUCUUGAGUUUACUUUCGAAGUCUUACCCAGGAGCCACCGCUUUACACCUUUCAUCAACUCGAAUUUGGGCUUUGUGUAUUGUGACUUACAUCACGGGGCGAUGAGGACCCCAAGUAUCAGGCCUUUAGAAGAAAGGAGGCCCCGACUUCGUCUGCUCUGAGUCAGGGCGGCAAUCUCUGUCAUUACUUGAUAUCAGCUGUUGCGGAGAAGUCAAUUAGCUACCCUUGUGAGAUUAAUUCCAAACAAAGGGAUGCUCGUCACUAACAGCUGCUGAACCUCACCUACAAGUCUCUAACUGGAAGAUAUCGGGGAUGAUAAGAAUUUAACAAACUAAUAGAUUUCUAUUUGAAAGACAUAUAGCUAGAAUUUUGUGAGAGCACGAAGUCGAUAUGGUUUACAGUGGUAUGAAAAGUCUUUCUAGACAUUGCAAGAUUUUCCCUAGAUCCUAAAACGCCACUAGUACUAUAGGAGUGAACAGGAAGUAAGAAUUCCGGGGAGAAAGAACUCAAGGAGAAACUUUUAGCAGGGAGAUAUAGCGACUGUUGAGUUAAUUUAUCAAUCAUUCAGAGAGGGUACUAGUUUCCUUCAUGUGGGAUUUUGGUGGGGGAGGGUGGAGGUUGAAGAAUUUCAAAGCGUUCUGAAUAUUGGACUUUGCCCUUUAAUUUGGAAAGCGCGGAAUGGCUUUGUGAACAAAGAAUGAAAGAAUCCGGCAGCUGAGUGACGGGAGUAUUUCAGAAGUGACUGAAGGCGGCAGGUCCAUCUCAGCUGUUAAGAAUAAAGCCUGUGCAUAUUAUUUCUCUUUCCUACUCUGUAUUGUAUAGGCUCAUUACCCUGAGGUGAGACAUGGAGGUACCUGAAGAGCCCCUGCUGGAAGAUAGAAUUCCUUCGGGUUUUCCUGAUGAUCAGAUCUGCAAUUUGUUGGACCAUGAUGGCAACAAAGAAAGCUGUUGAGCCUGUCCAUUCCAGGCCAAGGCGAUGGAGGGGAUCUAGAGAGGGAAAGACCCUAUGAAGCCAAAUUCUGGAAGGCAGAGCAAUGGCAAGCAAGGAAACAGAUAUAGCACACAGAGAGGAAAAUAGCCCUCACCUUGAUCCCUGCACUCCGACAUUUGGAGACUGCAUCUGGCACGGUAGACCGAGGAGGAUCAAUCAUGGACAGAAGCCCCACAAAGCAGAGGUUGGAAGUGGGAAAGUUUACGGAGUCUACAUCAAAUGUGUAGUCCUGGGGAAACUCAUCUGCUGGCAAGUAGAGGUGACAGAAACCUGGAAGAGAAAGGCAC
Molecule: long non-coding RNA, 1351 nt
Organism: Mastomys coucha (southern multimammate mouse)
Lineage: Eukaryota; Metazoa; Chordata; Mammalia; Rodentia; Muridae
Exons: 4
Source: RefSeq, a predicted model, not a curated record